This 468-nucleotide ribosomal RNA is filed under the name uncultured bacterium. RNAcentral's name for it is "partial 16S ribosomal RNA". It matches the Rfam family "Bacterial small subunit ribosomal RNA", at positions 28 to 507 of the family's 1533-position model. The record is from RNAcentral.
GACGAACGCUGGCGGCGUGCUUAACACAUGCAAGUCGAACGGAAAGGCCCUGCUUUUGUGGGGUGCUCGAGUGGCGAACGGGUGAGUAACACGUGAGUAACCUGCCCUUGACUUUGGGAUAACUUCAGGAAACUGGGGCUAAUACCGGAUAGGAGCUCCUGCUGCAUGGUGGGGGUUGGAAAGUUUCGGCGGUUGGGGAUGGACUCGCGGCUUAUCAGCUUGUUGGUGGGGUAGUGGCUUACCAAGGCUUUGACGGGUAGCCGGCCUGAGAGGGUGACCGGCCACAUUGGGACUGAGAUACGGCCCAGACUCCUACGGGAGGCAGCAGUGGGGAAUAUCGCACAAUGGGCGGAAGCCUGAUGCAGCAACGCCGCGUGCAGGAUGACGGCCUUCGGGUUGUAAACCGCUUUCGCCUGUGACGAAGCGUGAGUGACGGUAAUGGGUAAAGAAGCACCGGCUAACUACGUG